Molecule: long non-coding RNA, 3212 nt
Organism: Cebus imitator (Panamanian white-faced capuchin)
Lineage: Eukaryota; Metazoa; Chordata; Mammalia; Primates; Cebidae
Exons: 3
Source: RefSeq, a predicted model, not a curated record
CACAGGGUGGAGGUUUAGAAGGGAACGAAGGAUGAAAAGUCACUUAAUGGGCACACUGUACACUGUUUGGAUGAUGGUUACAGUAAAAGCCCAGGUUUUACCCCCGUGCGGUGUAUCCAUGUAUAAACAGUGUGCUUGUACCCUCUACAUCUGUUAAAAAGGAAGAAGAAAAAAAGUGUGAUAUCUCAUGUGAAAAAUAGGUAUACAUAUAAUGGAAAGAUAUAUCUAUUGUUAAAAAAAGUAGUUUGUCCUUGCUGGGGUUUGAAUGUGUUCCCCAAGAAGCAUGUGUUGGAAACUUAAACUCCUGAUGCUACAGGGAGAUGGGGCUUAAUGAAAGGUGUUUAGAUCAUGAGCUUCAACUUCAUCAAUGGAUUCAUGGCACUUAUAAAAGCGCUUGGUGCUGCUCAUUUGAUCUCUUGCUCUCUGUCAUUCACUCUUUGCUCUUUUUCAUGACAUGACACGGCAAGAAGACCCUUGCUAGAUGCCAGCCCUUGGAUCUUUUACUUCCCAACCCCCAGAACCACAAGUCAGUAAAGUUCUGUUCGUUAGAAAUGUACUCAGUCUCAGGCUUUCUGUUACAGCAGCACAAAAUACACGAAGACAGUCCUGAUGAAGGUAGAAUGUAUGCCACGGCUUGUAAGUAACACAGAAUCUGUUUGUCAGUUACAAGGAUUUAGAGUAGCCAAAGUGGCUAGAAUACCAAAAGACAGGGCAGGAGGCCAUGAGACUUGAGGCAACAAGAAAAUUGAGGUGCCGAGUUGAAUCUAGCUCAGUUGGUUGGGAGAGUUCAAAUUGCUUCUGGUAUUUUAUCUUCAGUGCUUGUACUGUAGAAUAUACAUUUUGCCUUAGAGAAGAAAUGCUCAAUUUCUCUUGGAAUACACUCAUUUAGCAAAUAUUUAUUGUACUAUUUUUUAUCUGAGGACAGAAACGUUCUGGCUGUUCUCAAGUGUCUUAUUUCAGGAAAGAGCACAGCGCCUGAAACACAGUAAGCAUACAAUACCUAUUUGCUAUUUAUUUGUUGAUUUGUUUUACUCAUUAAAAUGCGGGCAAAAAUUGUGUCUUCCCAACACCUUAAAAAAGUGUCUGGUAGCGAAUGUAUGUUCAACUAAUUUUUAUUAUAUGAAUAAAUGUUGAGGCUCAUCUUAUUCUUUCCCUGCCUCAGCCUUAGAAUCAGCCAUUUCUCCAAAAGUUCUGGUUUCUUUAAGAGGAAGACAGUAUUUGAAAGUCAAGGUCUGAGGUCUCUGUGUGCUCAUUAUUACUGGAGUAUCUUAUUUCUAGUUCCUUUCAGUGGAGGGAGAGCUAGCAAAGGUAAAUUAUAGAUAGACACAUAGAAUAGAUAGAUACAUCUGUAACUAUGAGUUCAUAUUGGUACCUCCAAUUCUAGUCUAAUACUUCAGAGUUAUUCUGGCCUUCUACCUUUCCAUGUUUUAAAGUAUGGUUUCCACCUGAGAUAAACCUGUCUCUCAUCAUUUACAAUGCCUUUAUUUAUUUGCUCAAUUAAAGUAAUUAUUUGCUCAAUGUAAUGAAUCUCCAGACCACCCCUGGAUGUCUCCUCCACCUGCCAGUUCCUCACCCGCCUUGAAUGCACUUCUGCCUGACUCUCCUUAUCUGCUGCAGAAUCCUGCAUGCCUCCAAGAAGCCUUCAUAUAUGGCUCCCCCUCCCCAGGUAGAUCCUGACACCUCCAUACCAGGAAGGAAGAAGGAAAAAAAUAAUUGGAAGAGAAGAUAGAAAGGGAAAGUUAGAAAGAAAUGGACAGUGGGAAGGACGAAGGUAAAGAAGCGUGGCUGUGUUAUAGAAGCCAAUGAAGGUGCAGGAGCAGAAAACAACUGAGGCUCGACCCGUGAGGGCCUGUGAGACUGGGUACUGCCUCCCUCUGCAUCCUCAGCUGCCUGGAGGAGAGUGACGCAAUUAACGCUUCAUUCAGAAACCCAUGCUUCUGUUGGCAACCCAUCCAUCUUCAUCCCCCAAACUAUCAAGAACUGUGAAGAAUCUGAGAUGUUUGUCCCACCUGCAAGGUAACAGGUUAGCCUGUGUGUUUCAUGAAUGAGUCGGAGAAAAAGAAACCUAAUUAUUCACGCAUAGCUAGAAGAGUAAGUUGCACUUUUGCUUUGCUUCCCCUUGUCGAUCCAAUGUCUGAAUAUUCAUUUUAUAUUUCAUUAUCUUGUGUAUGAACAUUUCAAAGUAUCCUUUUGAAUUUUCCAGAUACACAAUAAUAUUAUCAUCAAAUAAUGACAGUUCUUCACGCAUAUAUUCCACUUUCAAUAGGGAGAAAAUUUUCCAGAUUUUAAUUAUAAAAGAGGAAACUCAGAUUCUAGUUCUGGGUAUAAAUUGUUCCUUUCCACUGAUUGGUAUUUACUGGGUGUGUUCUAUGUAUCAGAAUCCGGGAAUCCUCAUCCCAAAAAGCAGAGAAAAGGAAAGAAGCCGGGGUUUUGUUCAUGCCUCAGGAAAAAAAAUGCAUUAUUCAUUUGUAAAUUGACAUUGAUAUUUACCGAUCAGAAAAGGAAAAAAGUUUGAUAGUAUUUAGUUUGUAAAUAAACAUUUGUUCCUUAUUUUUGAGGUAUAAUAUAUUAAGCGAAUUUAGUGUUGAACUGCUUGCUACAUUUCAUAAAAACAUCAAUGAUGAGAACAGACAUGCAAAAGCAAUUUACCAUUGUCUAAACUGAUAAAUGCAAUUUUAUUAUACUAGAUUAAAUAAAUAUAAUAUAGUUUAAAUCAUGUUGUUAAAGAACAAGAGAUGUAAAAUAUGACUACUAUAUUCAUAUAAUAAUACAAAUAUCUGUGUACAGUUUUACCAUUUGAAUACAUUGACUGGGUAACACUUCUAGAUAUAAAGCAUUAGACAGAAUAUAUCGUGUUUAAAGUGUAGGCUCUGAAAUCUGACAGGGUUCAAAUCUAGGCUAUUUACUGACAAAAUGAUUGACACUGGGCAUGUUGAAAUCUCUUGGGAACCGAAGUUGUUCAUCUAUAAAAUGAGAAAAAUAAUAAUGCCUACCUUACAGGGUUCUCAUAGGAUUAAAGGCGUUACUGAAGACAGAGUGCUUAGAACAGCGCUUGGCAAAGAGUAAACAUUCAACAAAUGUGAGGACACGUAAGAUGAGAUGAGACACUGAAUUUAAGCAAAGUGAAAGUCUUUGACCUGACCUCAUUUCUGCUUUUGUAGAAUUGGCCAUUGUACAGUGUGCAGUCUCUACAAUUCUAAGUUCAUUCAGCC